UUUUUCUUUUGUUUCUUUAACUAGAUCAACCCCGUAAAUCUGGCUUUCUUUAAGCUCUGUCCAAUAUAAAGGUGUGUGGCAUUUACGUCCAUACAAAGCUUCAUAAGGUGCCAUUUUCAAACUUGACUGAUAACUAUUAUUGUAGGUAAACUCUACCAAUGGUAAGUAUUUUUCCCAACUACCUUGAAAUUCUAAUACACAACAUCUAAGCAUAUCUUCAAGUACCUGAAUAACUCUCUCUGACUGACCAUCGGUCUGAGGGUGAAAAGCCGUACUAAAACUCAACUUCGUACCUAAAGCCUCUUGUAACUUCUUCCAGAAACGUGAAGUAAAUCUUGGAUUUCUGUCUGAAAUGAUUGAUAAUGGCACUCCAUGUAGUCUAACUAUCUCUGAAAUGUAUAACUCGGCCAACUUGUCAAGUGAAUAAUCCAUACGGAUUGGGAUAAAAUGAGCCGACUUAGUUAGCUUAUCAAUCACAACCCAUACUGCAUCUUUCUUUUUCAGUGUUAACGGCAAUCCUGUCACAAAAUCCAUAGUAACUCUGUCCCAUUUCCAUUCCGGAACUAGCACAGGUUGCAAUAAUCCUGAGGGUACCUGAUGUUCGGCCUUUACCUGUUGACAAAUCAAGCAUCUAGAAACAAACUCUGAAAUAUCUCUUUUCAUUCCUACCCACCAAUACAAUUUCUUCAAAUCAUUAUACAUUUUUGAACUGCCUAGAUGAAUAGAUAAAGAACUGCUAUGUGCUUCCUGUAAAAUCUUCCGAAUAAGCUCAUCAUUCUUUGGUACACAAAUUCUGUCUCUAAACAUCAAACAACCAUCAGAACCAAUCCAGAAAUCUGAUUCUAUGCUUGACUCACAUUGAACUCUUUUAGCUUGUAACUCAUUAUCAUCUUUCUAAGCUUCACAAAUCUCUUCAAGAAAUACCGGGUUAGCUCUAAAUUCAGCUAAAAUAGAACCAUCAUCUGACAUGGCUAAAUUGGUAUUCAAAGCUCGCAAUGUAAAUAAAAGUUUCCUGCUUAAAGCGUCAGCAACUACAUUUUCCUUACCUGGGUGAUAAUCAAUCACUAACUCAUAAUCUUUAAGCAAUUCCAAUCAUCUUCUUUGCCUCAAAUUCAAAUCUUUUUGAGUCAUAAAGUAUUUCAAGCUUUUAUGAUCGGUAAAUAUCCGGCACCUUUCACCAUACAAAUAAUGUCUCCAAAUCUUCAAUGCAAAUACAAUAGCAGCUAGCUCUAAAUCAUGUGUCAGAUAAUUUUUCUCAUGUGGCUUCAAUUGUCUAGAGGCAUAAGCAAUUACCUUUCCUUCCUGCAUGAGUACACAACCGAGCCCAUUCAAGGAUGCAUCACUGUAAAUCACAAAUUCUUUACCCGGUUCCGGCUGUACUAAGAUAGGAGCUUCCGUCAACAAUGCCUUUAACUUGUCAAAACUUUGUUGGCACUUCUCAGUCCAUUCAAACUUAACAUCCUUCCGUAGUAGUCUCGUCAACGGGGUAGCUAUCAUGGAAAAUCCCUCCACAAAUCGUCUAUAAUAUCCGACAAGACCAAGAAAACUUCUAACUUCUGAUACAUUUCUAGGAGGCUUCCAAUCAACAAUGGCUGAAAUCUUACUCGUAUCAACCUUAAUACCUUCACCUGAGACAAUAUGUCCAAGAAAACCAACUUCUCGUAACCAGAACUCACUUUUGCUGAACUUGGCAUACAACUGAUUAUCUCUCAGAAUUUGUAAAACUGUUCUCAAAUGCUCUGCAUGCUCAGUCUCAUCAUGAGAAUAAAUCAAAAUAUCAUCAAUGAACACAACUACAAACUUAUCUAAGUAUGGUCUAAAAAUUCGGUUCAUUAAGUCCAUGAAAAUGGCAGGAGCAUUAGUCAAGCCAAAUGGCAUCACAAGGAACUCAUAAUGACCAUACCUAGUCCGGAAAGCAGUCUUCAGGACAUCUGACUCUUUAACUCGCAACUGAUAGUAUCCGGAUCUCAAAUCUAUCUUGGAAAACACAGUAGCUCCCUUCAAUUGAUCAAACAAAUCAUCAAUUCUAAGCAAUGGCUACUUGUUCUUUACUGUUACCUUGUUAAGUUGCCGAUAAUCUAUGCAUAAUCUUAUCGAUCCGUCUUUUUUUUUCACAAAUAGCACUGGUACACCCCAUGGUGAACUACUGGGUCUUACAAAGGCUUUAUCUGUUAAUUCCUGCAACUGAGCUUUCAAUUCUUUCAAUUCCAAUAGAGCCAUUCUAUAAGGAGCAAUAGAAAUGGGUGUGGUACCUGGAAUCAACUCAAUACCAAACUCAACUUCUCUAACAGGAGGCAAACCUGGUAGUUCUUCCGGAAACACAUCGGGAAACUCACAUACCACAGACACUGAUUCAAUUUUCAAUUCUGGAUCUUUAGUGUUCAACACAAAAGCAAGAUAAGCUUCAUACCCUUUUCUCAAGUAUUUCUGAGCAGACAUAACAGAAAUUAUGGGAAAUGAACUAUCUGACUCUUCUGAAUUAACCCGAAGAAUUUCACCAUUUUCACAGUUCAACUCAAUGAAUUUCUUUCCACAAUUCACUAUCACAUCAUGUGUAGUCAACCAAUCCAUACCAAGAAUCACAUCAAACUCAUCAAAUGGCAAUAGCAUGAGAUCGACCGGAAAACAGUAGCCUCUAAUCAUUAAAGGACAAUUUCUACAUACUUUAUCUACUAAUACAUGCUUGCCUAAUGGAUUCGAUACUUUAAUCACAAAUUCUGUAGAUUCUAUAGGCAUACUUAUACUAGGUAUCAAUUUCAUACAAACAUAAGAAUGAGUCGAACCCGGAUCAAUUAGAGCAAUGACAUUAAUAUCAUGUAGAGAAAAUGUACCCGUAAUCACAUCGGGGGAGGAUGCCUCUUUGCGUGCACGAAUAGCAUAAGUCCUUGCAGGGGCUCUAACAUCUGGUCUCACAGUCGAAUCUCUAGAGGUACCUCUGUUACUUGCUCCUACUCCCGGUUGCCUCGGUGAUCUGCCUCUAGUAGGAGCAUUUCCGGAUCUAGCAUUCUGUGUUACCUCUCGGCUAGCCACUUCUGGACAUUCUCGUACAAAAUGAUCUGGAGCACCACAUUUAUAGCAAACAUUUUCGCCUGCCCGACAAGGACCAUAAUGAAGUCUACCACACCGUGGACACCCUGAUCUACCCUGUCUGACAUUACCUACACUCGUAGUCGAGGUGGUCUGAGCCUUCGGAUCCUUAAAUUUGCUACCUCUAUUCUGACUAGAUUGCCCUGCCGAAAAGCUAGAUCUGGUAGAAAACUCUUUGGGCCUCUUGGAUGUAGCCUGAAAUGAUCUGCUCAUCUGUCUCUUCUUUGUAUCUUGUGUCUCCGUCUCAACUUUGCCUUUUCUUUUUAAUAGCUCCUCUGCCUUACAGGCUCUCUCAACUAAAGUAACGAACUCUUUUAUUUCUAGGACACCCACUGACAGUCGGAUAUCAUCAUUUAACCCAUCCUCAAACUUUUUACGCAUGAUAGCCUCUGUGGACACACAUUCUUGAGCAUAUUUACUAAGCCUGACAAAUUCACGCUCAUAAUCGGUCACCGUCAUAUUGCCUUGUUUCAAUUCCAAGAAUUCCUUUCUCUUCUGGUCAAUAAACCUCUGACUGAUGUACUUUUUACGAAAUUCUUCCUGAAAGAAAUCCCAAGUGACCCUCUCUUUCGGUACAACUGAUACAAGUGUCUUCCACCAGUAGUAGGCUGAGUCUCUAAGAAGUGAUACUACACAUUUCAUACAUUCCUCGGGUGUACAAGAUAAUUCGUCAAAGACUCUGAUAGUAUUUUCUAACCAAAAUUCUGCUCUUUCUGCAUCAUCAUCUUUUGUUGCUCGGAACUCUUCUGCCCCUUGUUUCCUGAUUCUAUCAACUGGUGGCUUUUCUCUUACCACUGUACCUAUGACUAGGGAAGCUUGAGCUACAUGGGUAGCCUGAGAAUCAUGAGGGGGUGAAGGUCUAACUGCCGGAUUCGUACGAACGAACUCGGCAAACAAAUCAUUCAAAGCUCGGAAGAGAGCUUCUCGAGUCACUCCUCCCUGAUCAACUAUUACUGGCCUAUUCUCAGAUGGUGCUGCCCCUUCUAUGGAAGCAAGCGCAUUACUUUCUACAUUAUCAUCACCAGCUCGCCCGAGAUCCAUUACUAUAAAACAAAAUAUUUAUUAAAAAAAAAUCGUCAGGAGUCAUCACACUAUCAAAAUACAAGUAUGGCAUGUAUAGCUAGACUUUUUCUCACACUAACUGUUCCGAGAACCGACUAAACCUGGCUCUGAUACCAAUAAAUGUAGCACUCCUUACCCGAGACUGUUUCCAGAAUCGAGCACGAGGCAUUACUAAACUUAAUCUAUCACUUAAAUAGUUUUAAAUUGUUUAUUUAAGCUUUUCGGAAUGUGCUGCCAUUCUGCGUCGUAGUCGCCUAAAAAUUCAUAUCUUGAGUUCCGAAACUCAAAAUUAAGAUCCGUAAAUUUUUCCUAAAACUAGACUCAUAUAUCUAUUUACUAAUGUUUUUCAUAGAUUUUUUACAAGGCCAAUUAGUACAGUUUAUUAGUUAAAGUUUCCCCUGUUUCAAAACUCGACUGCACUAACCUCUUCUUACUACGAACCAUGUUUCUUCCUGUACAAAAUUCAUAUCACUAAGCCAUUUGUUUCUCUUAAAACUAGACUCAAGAAGGAUUAUAAUAAUAUAAAGUACACGUUCUAAUUAGUUUUUUACAAUUUAUGGUGAAUUUCCAAAGUUGAAAUAGGGGAUCCAGAAAUUGCUCUGACCCUAUUUAACUAAAACUCAGAUAUAUCAUAAAAUAUAAUACCUUUACCUGUUUUUCUUAUUCCAUAAGAAAAUAGACAUAAUAAGAUUUAAUUUCAUAUAUUAUUCAUCUUCAAACUAUGUUUCUACAAUUUUUAGUGAUUUUUCAAAGUUACAUCAUUUCUGUUACUUGAAUCUGUUUUUAGGUUACUUUCACAUUUUUCAGAAUUUUCAUGUGAUAAUCACCAUUCAAUCAUACAUAUUAAUAAACAUGCAUAUCAUCAGCCAUUUUUAUUAACUAAUCACUAGCAAGUAUUUACACAUCGUUCAUUGUUUGCAUUAUACCAAAAGUAGCUAAGUUUCUAUACAUGCCAUACACAAAACAAAACGUCUAAUUAUAUCGAGUUAUUUCUUUGAUAGUGUGAUCGGCCUCCGACGUUUCCUUCGAUCCCCGAGUGGCUAGAUAAGUACUAUAAGAAGAAGAAAAUAAAGAGAUUAAGCACUAGGCUUAGUAAGAUUACAAGCAAAUAAAUCACAACAUUCAACAUAAUGGAUAAUUAUGCAUAAUAUCAUCUAACAUUAUAAAUUUCUUUACUUCUCAAUUUCUAUCUUCUUCUUUAUUCCCUUACCUUCUUUCUUACCUGACCUUUCCUUUUUCAUAAAUAUAAUCUACUUUUCCUUUGCUGUUAAUUCACUGUAAUUUAACUCGUAUCCUGACCCGUUGAACCACUCGGAAUACUAAGGAUACUAGGGUCGUUCCUGUCUAUCAAUAUCCUGCCAAUGCCAUGUCUUUGACAUGGACUUACAUGAAUUAUUCCUGUCUCCAAUGCCAUAUAUAAUAUGGACUUACAUGGCUCAAUCCUGUCUCCAAAGCCAUAUGUCUAAUGUGGACUUACAUGGCUCAUUUCUGUUCUGUCCUGUCAACCCUAAUAUCCUAACAUUCCUAGGGUUCAACCGGGGCUUUCUAACACUUUUCCUCUGUCACUUCACCUUAAAUUCGAAUUUAAAUAUUUUCAUAACAUAAAUAUAUAAAUGCUGGAAAUUGACAAUAAUAAUGUAAAAUAAAAGAAUAUUGCAUUUAUUUACUGUAAACUUACCUCGAUACAAAAUGUGACUAAACUUUACAAUUUAGUCCUUUACUUUUUGUUUUCCCCGAUCUACUCCCGAAUUUCGCUCUUCUUGAUCUAUAAUAGUAAAUUUAGCUUAUUUAAUAUCAACAUUUAUCAAAACAACCCUUUACUCAAACUUUGGAAAAAUUACAUUUUUGCCCUUAAACUUUCACAUAUUUGCACUUUUUCCCCAAGGCUCGUAAAUUAAACUUCAUCCUAUUUUCUUAUGUUUUAUGACAUGCUUAUCAUUUUUCCCUUCUAUGACAACAUCAAAUUCACACACUAACAUGUACUUAUGACUAUUAGGUAUUUUUACCGAUUAAGCCUUUUUACUCGUUUUCACUUAAAACCAAGUAGCACAAGUUGUCUAACAUAAUUUAAAACCACAUAUUCAAUCAUAAAACAUCAAAAUACACAAAUUUCACCUAUGGGUAUUUUUCCAAAUUUGAUUCCUAACUUAAAUUAUUGCUAGCAUAAGCGUUAUCGAGCUACCGGGACUUCAAAAACGUAAAGAUCAUUAAAAACGGGGCUUGGAAUCACUUACUAUGAAGCUUGAAAGUUGAAGAAACCCCAGCUAUGGAGAGAGGUAAGGUUCGGCUGGUAACUUGAAGAAGAUGAUACAAUUUUAUCAUCUUUUUACCUUUUUAUUAAUGUUAAUAACCAAAUGACCAAAAUGCCCCUCCUUACUAAACUUUCAAAAAUUCAUGUCCUAAUUUUUUCCAUGAACUUAAAAUUGGUCAAAUUACCAUUUAAGAUCUCCUAAUUAAUAUUCCAAAAUAAUUUCAUACUAAAAACUUAUUAUUCGAUUUAGUCCCUAACCUCAACUUAAGCACUUUAUGCAUAGAAUUUUAUCACGAAAUUUUCGCACAAUCAUGUAAUCAUACCAUGAACCUCAAAAUAAUAAUAAAAUAAAUUUUUUUCAUCCCCAAAUUUGUGGUUUCGCAACCACUGUUCCGUUUAGGCCCUAUUUCGGAAUGUUACACUACAUCUUGACUUACAACUUGUGUGAGAAGACUUAGUUAUGGCUCGAGAGUGAGCAUCGAUAUGAGAUAUGAGAUAGAAGUGGUUUUGACCACAUAUUGGCACUUAGUGUGUGAGAUACCCGAGUAUCUGAUAGUAUUCCAAAUGGUUCAACAGGCACAGAUGAUGCAAAGUUAUACAAGUUGAUACGAACCAGUGCAGGUAUUAAUGUGAAGUUUGGGAAGAAAUUCAUAGUUGAUGUAUUUAUACAUAGCUAACAUAAUUGUGAUUAUGUGUUAGGCUUUGGGCUGAAUUGAAAUUUACCUAUGUUUUAAUUAUGCUUAUCUAAAUUGUGGAUGAUUUGGUAAGUUGUAUUUAUUAGUUAUACGAACUUACUAAGCUUAAUUACUUACUCCGUUAUAAUUUCCGUGUUUUAUAAUGAUUCAGAAACUUGCUCGAUUUGGAAGUUGUCGGAGAUCGCGUCGUACUAUCAAACUCUUAUUUUGGUACUUUGGCCUUUACAUUUUGGGUUAAAUAACAUGUAUAGGUAUUUUGGCUAAUGUGGCCUAUAUGUUUUGUUGUGUAUUUAGCUAAUUGGUUUGGCUUGAAAAUGGUAUAUAUUUUGAUAUGUAGGUGUAAAUGGCCUUAUGAUAUGUUGUGUAUAUUUGCUAUGUGAAUGCUUUAUUUUGUGAACUGGUAUUUAAAGUACCAAAUGGUUGAAAUUGAGAAUACGUAUGCAUGCUAAGUUAGGCACAAUGUUUCAUAUAUGUAAUUGACCAUGUAGGUAGACUUUGGAAGUUUAUCUGGUAUGUUUAAAAGUGGUCAAAUGAAUGUGCUUAUGGAUAUCAUGUUGGAUGUGUGGAUUGUACAUGAUAUAAACUUGAUAUUGGUUGGUUUUGAGUGCCUAUUUAUGCCAUGGUUGUAUGUGCAUUGUUAAGCUUAGGUUGGUACCACAUUGGGUGAGAAAUAUGGUUUGAAAAAUAACCUAUUUUUGUCCACACGGGCAAAGACAUGUGCGUGUGUCUCAGCCAUGUGUGACACACAGCCAUGUGUGACACACAGCCAGGUGACACAGCCAUGUGUCCCCUGAUACUUCUUUAGAAACCAAGUCAAUUGCUUCACAUGGCCUAGCACACGGGUGUGUGGCUUGGCCGUGUGGCACAAGCCAGUAUACCCUCCAGUUUUCACAUGGUGUGUGAGGCCAUUUCGAAGGGUAUACGACCUAGCACAGGGCCGUGUGAUUUGGUCGUGUGACCUAAGUCAGUUAGUUACACGGGGUCAGACACUGGCUGGGACACAGCCAUGUAAUCCCAUUUCGAAUGUCCACUCGGCCUGAGACAUGGGCAUGUGUCUCCUCACUUUGAAAAACUUUCCAUGUUUUCUUAAAAAAUCGUAGAGAACCUGGUUUAGUCCCGAACCAUUUCUAAUAUUUAUUUUAGGCCUUGAGGGCUCGUAUUAGGGACUAUAUGAUGGAAAUUGAUUGGUUUUUUAAUUGAAUGAUUUAUGAACAUGAAAUUUUAUUGUUUUGAUCUAUAAGUCUGGUAAUACUUCGUAAUCCUGUUCCGGCGUCAGAUACGGGUAAGAGGUGUUACAGGAAGAGUAUAGGGUUACUUCGACUACAAGUCAAAGAGUGUUAGGCACAUUGGUACUACGAUUAUACCGAUGAACGCUGGGUGCAACUUAUUACUUCGGAUUUGUCCGAUGAGGCAUUGGGUGCCAAAUAGGUGUGAUUGGUUGGAUUAUGUAUUUGUUUGAGUCUGGGUCAAGUUAAUAGUGAAUUAAACAUGUAAAUGUAAAAUGGUACAUGAAAAUAUAUUGAGAUGGUAAAUGAUUAUAUUGAAUUUAUAAUCCCGAAAAAUUGUAUAAAUAUGAGAUAGUCCAAUCAAUUCAAUUUGGAACUUGUUGAAUGAAAGUAUGAUAUUCUUAUACUAGCUAUUUGGGCAUAAAUGAAAUGAUUUAUACGGUGAGAUAGUAUAUUUUGGUGAGAUAGUAUAUUUUGAUAGGUGAUUUAGUAAUGUCAAUACAUGAUAUUUUGUUUUAAUGUUUUAAUUUAUUUACAUUAUAUUUAAAUGUUUGAUUAUAGAAAUACCAUUGAGUUUCUAUUUUGCACAAAAUUUUGUUUUCCAUGCAUAGGUUAGGUUAAAUUCACGAUUUUGAGCUUCAAAAUUAGCAUCUCAACAAAAAUCUCAAACUCUGUAAGGUUGGUGAAAUUCUUAUUAAUUUAAUGGCAUGUACCUAGGGGAGUCCUUUAUAUAUUUUACUAAGUUGAAGGUUUAGAUGGCAAGUGGAUGAAUUUUGUAUAAAUGUUAAUGUUAUAAUGAAGAUGGUAUAAAGCAUGUGAGCAUAUAUGUUAAUGUUGAGUUGUUACAUGUCUGAUACUUGAAAUUCUGUUUGGAGUAAGAAUGUGAUACUUUGGUGGUGGAUAUGGCAUUGUAAGUUAAGUUUUAGUUGAUAGAAUGGGAUAAUCAAAGUAAGUCAAUAAGAUACUAAUAUAUGAAAGAUAUGCUACUAGGUUAGAAACGAGCAUAAAACAUGACUCGAAAUUAUAUUUGCUUUGACAUUUGAGUGGUACUUAGGGGCAAUGAAUUGAUGAUUGUAAAUGUAUGAUGAAAUGGUUGAGUUGAUUUGUAAAGUUGUAAAUUAUUGUAUAGGUAUGUUUGAACUUACCUUGAUGUUGUUUAAAUGUGUUGGGAGAAUAUUUUAGUGUGAUUGGUUAUAGGUAUGAUGUGGAAAAGGUAUGUACUAGGUAAGCUUGUUGAUGUUGGGAAUGAAAUAGGUGCCAAAUGCAUAUUUUUGAACUUAACUCUUGAAGUAUCGAUACCAAUGAGCAAGUAUUGAUACUUAGAAAUUUCAAAUAGUAUUUCAAAUAAAUAAAAUUUCAAAACGGUAUCGAUACCGGGCUUAAGUAUCAAUACUUAUUUAAAAGUAUCGAUAGUUUACAAAAGUAUCGAUACCUAUGGCCUUUGUUAAAAUUCUUUUUACAAAACAAAAUUGAAAAACAGUAUCGAUACUAGCAUGGGUAUUGAUACUCUAUAAUGAAUUAUUGAUACCUAGUGUUAAGUAUCGAUACUUGAAAACGUUGAAGCUCAUUUGGGUAUCUAUACCUAACUAAGGUAUCGAUACCUGUUUCGAAAAUUUUUGAACUUGUUGCAACUUGGUCUUAUUUCAUACUUAAUUCAAUAAUCGAAUCUUAAAAAUCGAGUAAAGCUUGGAAUUAAACGUAUUUCAUUAUAUACUUAUGUUUGUUGUAUGAUUGUACAUAUAUAAGUGAAUCAAUUACAAUAUUUUGAUAGUAGUUACUCUGGCAACGAAUGUGACACACAGUAACUAGGAUCUGAUGAUCGAGUUGGGUAUUAGGGUGUUACAACUAAUAAUAUUACCAAUUAACUUUCAUCAAAGCAACUCGAAGAAAUUGAAUUAAAUCGCAUCUAUUGGACUAUAUUUGAUCAAUUAAAUGCAAAAUUAAAUAAAUUCACAAUUAGCACUAAAUUUAUUGUAACCUUCCCAACCCGACCCAAACAUUAUGAAGGUUACAUUAGCUACCAAAAUGACCCAAUAAAACAAUCAGUUUUCAAAUAAAACCAGAAAGCCCAUUUCAUAAUGAUUUCAGAUUAUACAAUUCUUAAUUUUAAUUCAAGUAAUCAAAUAUAAUCAUUUACGGAACGACUUUUAGCAACUCAAGCAUGAAAUAGGUUUGUAUUGUUGAGUUUCAAAUCUCCACGAAAGGUAUCGAUACUGUAAUAAGCCAAUUUUGGCCUGGGCCCAAAAAAAUAAUAACCGAAGCCAAAGGAUGCAAUCGGUCGAAAACAAGCCAAAAAGGGUCAAAUUGAAAGACAAUCAUUAAAUUGCGGCCAAAUAAAAAAGAUGGAGAAAACCAAAGGAUUAUCAAAUUUUGUUGACUUGGUAAAAGGCUAAAAAUAGAAAGAUAUUAUUUUUAUUUUAUUAUUAAAUUAGUUAGGCUAUUUUUAGUAAACCCUAUGUAUAUAAAUAGGGGUAUUUUGUUCUUUGAAAGGGAACGAAUUACUUUUGGAGGGAACGAAUUACUUUUGGAGGACUUUUGGUAUUCUUACUUCAAUUUGGAAUUUGAUUAUUCUCUAUUUUCCUAUUUCCAUUAGAAUUGAAUUAUUUUCUUUUCUCUUUCAAUUACGUGGGAAUUUUGUCCAUUUUAUUUCAAUUUCUUUAUUUUUCUAAAUUUGUCCGAUUGCUUUUAGCCCUUUUGUUUUUAUUUGAUUUGCAAUUAAGUUUCAUUAUUCUUAAGUUUUGCCCUAAAAUUUGUUUUGACUACAUUUUGGUCUUCCUUGAAGCUGUGUGUUUUGGAGGGUGGGGAUUAUUUCCCUUUUGGUCCCUCAUUGUUAUUUGCACGUUCAAAUUGGUUCAUUUUCUUUUAUUUAUUUUUGAUUUGCCCCAGAAUUUUGCUUUAAGGUUUGAUUUAAUCCUUUUUUAUUUUCGCUAUUUUAUUAUCAAAUUAACUAAUUUAAUACAUUAUUCCUAUUAUUUUUAUGUUUCUAUUUAUAUUUAUUUUGUUAUUCUGAUACUAUUAUUAUUUAUCUAAUUAUUAUUUAUCUAUUUAUAUUUCUAUUAUUAUUAUAUUUCUAUUUAUUAUAUUUUUAUUUCUAUUUAUAUACUAAUAUUAUUUUCAUUAUUACAUUUUUCCUUAUAUAUGUUUUUUUACUCUUGUUAUUAACAUUCUAUUUAUUUAUUUAUCUUACAUUUUUUUGUUAUUAUCUAUUUUAACUUUUUAUAUAACGCUCAUUUCAAUUUUAUACAUUAUUUACUUUAAUAUUUUCAUAUAUUAUGUAUUUCAAACUUUUUUACACAUUAUAUAUUUUGAAUUGCUUAUAUAAUAUUUUUAAAGAGUUUUAUACAUUAUUUUAUCUUGAAUGGAUACUAAUUUUUUUUUAAAAUUAUUUUAUAGAUUGCUUUUAUAACAUCCAUUUUAAAUCCUUUUUAAGUAUUAUUUGCUUAGAAUUGUUUUAUAUUUUAUUUUAGAUUUUCUUACUUUGUAUUUAUUUGUUAUUUGUGAUUUAUUAUUAUAACAUUUUGUUUAUGAAUUAUUACUUUGCAUUGUACAUUAUUAUUCCAUCGCAUUUUAUUCGCUUAAAGGGUCGUGUUUUAAUAGCAUUUAAGUUAUAAAAUCAUUUUAUUCAAAGUUUUCAAAAUAAGGCAAUGCUCGGUAUUUGGAGUCUUCGAGAAGAUUGUGCCCUAACUUACUGGGUUCCAAUUUUUCUCGUUGAAUCUAAGUAACUGGGUACCCUUUUUCAAUCAAAACGUAUAAGUUUCAAAUAAAAGCUUAUUCUCAAGAAUUCGAGGUGUUGUGUCCUAACUCACUGGAUAUGACAUUUUGUAUCCCGAUAUAAGGAUUUCUAAAAAAUAAGAAAAUAUUUCGUGUUUAGAAAUUCGAGAAAUCGUGCCCAAUCGUGCUGGGUUUCGAUUUUUCGUUCAACCGAAUAACUGAAUAUGCUUUUGAAAUUUCAUCCAUGUUCUCUUAAAUUAAAACGAGACAAUAUUUUGUGUUUGGAAAUUCGAGAAAUCGUGCCCAAUCGUGCUGGGUUUCGACUUACCGUUUGACCAGAUAGCCAAAUAUCCUUUUGAAAUUUCAAAUGCAUGAGUUUUGGAAAUUAUAAGAUGAUCUUAUAUCGAGGGUUUGAAAUGUUGUGUCCUAUCGUGCUGGAUAUGAUAUUUUAUUCCUUCUAAGCGAGAGAAUCUCAAUAUCCAAUUCAAGUCAUCCAAACGUUUUAAAGGAAUUGUAUUUUAAAAUCUUUUUCAAAUUUUCAACAUUAGGACAUUAAUUGAUCAAUACGGUACCAAUUUUGGGCGUUGCGAGGGUGCUAAUCCUUCCUCGCGCGUAACUGACUCCCGAAUCCGAUUUCUAGUUUUUCGUAGACCAAAAAUGUUAUUUUAGUAAACCGAAAUGCUUUAUUAAAAUGAUCGAUCACAAGGUGACCCGAUCACACCUAAACAAAAAGGAUUGGUGGCGACUCUAUUUUCGUUCUAAAGUCGACCUCCUUUUUUCAAAAUAAAAAUAGUUUCGACAGAUACAAAAUAGAAAAGUAUCGAUACGAUUUGAACAUUUUGCCAAUUUUUAAAGUUAUAAAAUGUGAUCAAUCGGUAUCGAUACUUUUAGAAAUAUCGAUACUAAUUUGGCAUUCUGUUUGGUUUAAAAAUCGAUUCAUAUGAUUAAGAAUCAGUACUAGAUGCUUGGGUAUCAAGACUUUUCGUCAGGCUUGGUAAAAAUCAUUAAAAAAACUGUUUUGAUUCAAUUUCAAAACAUGUACCAAUUUAAAUCAUUUUAGGAAAACAUUAGUUUAUUUUAGUUCAAAAGUUGUUAGAAAAGUCUCAUUUACAUUUACUUUAAAUAGUUUAAUAGUCUCGAAGUUUAUAACCAGAUUCAAGUUUAAUGAUAAAAAAUAAAUAAUGCAAAAUCCCCAAAACUUAAGUGUAAUAGAGUCCAUGCCAUAGUUUGUUAAACUAAACAAAACAAAACAAUAUUUAUAGAGUAGUUUAAAAUAUCUUUCUAAUUAAAAUCUGUCAACAGUGCUCCGAGUAUUGAGUUUGAGCCCUAAACUCACGAGUUAUCUGAAAAGUUAGGAAAAACUAAAGUGUGAGCUAUGAAGCUCAAUGUGAUCUUAACAUAUGAGAAGUAAAUAUAAAACAAUAAUUAACAGCACACAGGUUUGCAAUAUAUAAUACAUAUCAUAUUACCAAUCCUACAAUGAUCUUAAUAAAUAUACAGUGUGCAUGAAUAACGGUACAAUUUUCCUACUCAACUAUCCACUACACUCUAUAGUAGAGUUCCCAAGAACUUGUUUAACCCUACAUACCAAACAAUAUUUUACGGAUGAAUUGCCAUUAUAUCAGUAGGUCAUAGAUAAACCGCCAAUAAAAUAAUAAUUUGAUUGAUAAAUUAGUCUGACAUUAAAUGCCUACACUUCCUCCUUCAAAACUCAAAUCUCAAUGCAACAAUGUGGCAUGCUAUCGAUAUCAGAAAGCAAUAACAAUAACAGUAACAAAAUUAAUAUGCUAUUAUCAUGCAAACAAUAACAAUUUUAUGGUUAAGCAAUAGUAAUAAGUAUGCAUCAGUAAUUUAUACAAAUUUAUCAUAGAUUUAACGUCACGCACAUAAUCAACAUUACAAUUCAUAAAAUUGGCAGCAAAGAACAAUUAUACUUACGGUGGAGGAUGUGGCGACAACAAGGGAGAAAAGAGAGGAAGAGGAACAAAAAAAAAAAGAAAAAAAAGGGAGAAAGAGAAGAGAAGGGAAAAGAGAGGGGACAAUGCAAGGGAAAAGAAAGAGAGAAGAGGGGAAAGAAAUAGAGAAUUUAGGGUUUGGGUGACACAAAGCAAAGGAAAAUGAAAAAGAGGGGUCGACCUAGCAAAAAUAGGCUUAUAUACUUACAGUUUUCGGCAUAUUAGGGUUUCUCACAUUGGAAAAUAUAAAGGUAUCAGUACCUAUAUAAAAAGGUAUUGAUACUUGUGUAGGUAUCGAUUAAGUUUACAACAUUUUAACUGAUCAAGCCCAAAUGGAAGCCUAACUACACUUUCAGAAAAAAAAAUAAAAUAAUUCUUACAGUUACAAAUUUAACCCACAUUUUAGGGUGUAACAUUUAUUUUAUUAACAAAAUCAUGAAAAAUUCAAACUAAUAACAUUAGCAAUUAACUUUUAUCAAUUCAGCCUUAAAACCAGAACUAAACAGUAAAAAGUUAACGUCAUUAUUUUUGAGUACCAAAAUAUAUAACUUUUGUCAAAUAUAAGUACCAGAUUGGAUAAAAAAUAACACAAGUACCACAUAAGAAAAAAAUGUGAAACUCAAGUAUCAAUAAGUCCCUUUUUAAUAAUAGAUGUUUUUAUUUAUUUUAUGAUUUAAAACUAGUUUUAUUCGGCCGAAAGCAAUUAUCUUCCAUUUUUAAAAAAAAAAAUUUAAAUCUUAAAAAGAAGAGGUUAUAGAGAUUAUUAAAAUACUCUAUCGUAUAUAAAUGAAGUUAUAUUUUUAUAAAAAUAUUUAUUUUCUUAUAUAAUAAAUUAAUAAAAAUUUUAUCAUAAUAAGAUUUAUAUCUAAAAUAAUAUAUAAUAAAUAAUAAACUUUACCCUUUCAACAUCAAAUAUUUUUAUAUAAUUUUUAAUAAAUAUAUUUAUUAUAUAAUUUUUUUUUUCAUCGACUCUGCCACUAAAUAUGAAAUGGUUUUGGGGGGAUUGGUGAUUGUGAAGGGUGAUGUAAAAAUACAUUGAAUGGUUGAAUAUGGAUUAUAGGAAAAAUGAUUGUUACUUCAAACACAUUUAUUCAACUUCUGGGUUUAGGUUUCUACUUUUUAAGUCUUACAGUAAUUCUAUAUAUAAACAUGUAAAUUGAAUUCACAACUGAGUUUAACUUGAAAACUAACUUUUGCGUUGGGCUUUACAUAUUUAAUUAUUUGAAUUUGAUCCUGAGUUUCAUAUUGAUUUAAAAACCAAUUGACUAAGCCAAUGAAACCCAAUGUCUUGACCAAAUAAAUCAAAAACUAAACUAAAUCAGUUCCAUUCAAUUCAGUUUAUGCUGAUUUGAAGGGGAAACUAUCUCACCAUUGUCAUGCAAAGUUACUUCUCAUUUGACCAAUCACUCGAACAUCGUAAACCUAAAACAACUUAAGAUUUGACCAACUUAAAGAAAAUGUCAAUCUUGGUUGGGUUUUUCUUGAAAACUUAUCAUUUUUGUUCUUAACACACAUGCAAUGAAAAAUCAAAUUCCAAAUCCCCCACAUAUUUGUGGAGUCUUCAAUCAACUAAGUACUAAUUCCAUAGCAUUAACCAAGAAAAAAGUCACACAUCAGUGUAACUUUAACUCUCAAUUUCGGCUGAUAAAUUAGAUUCUGCCCAUCUUUCUGACAAAGACGACAGCACGUUAAAAUGCUUUCUUUUCUAAACAGAAAAGAAUAAUAUUAUAUGUAUUUAAUCUAUUACAAUCAUCUCAAAUUUGCAAUUCAUGAUGGGACAUUAUUAUAUUCCCUGACAGAAGAACUGGUGAACAAGCUAUGGACUCACUUUGGCAAUAGAAUUAAGGAUUUCCUCAACUAAUGUGACAACAUUAAUAAAAAAGUACUAUACAUUUCAGUUUAAUCAAUUUCUAUGGUUAAAUACUAAUCUUUAUAUGUUAAUACAAAGUACACGUAGCAAACUAAACAUCACUAUCCGAUUAUUCUAUCAGCCAUGCAAAAUUUUAGCAGUACAAGAAAGUAAAAUUUUUAAUAGAAAAGACUACUUUCAUCUAACAUACAAAAAUUAAUUUACUAUAUUUUAGUAAAAGGAGCAAAAUGCAAUUUAUCAAGAGCCUUUAUAUUGCAAGACCGAAGAUAAAAGAAACAUCAUUGAUAACAGAAAUAACACAUGCACCAUGAACUAUUACCGGAAAAGAGACUAGAUUGUAUUGUUAGAAGAUCCAUGUAUCAUUUGCAAGUAUUGUGAAAGAAAACUAGACAAUCUAAUGACUGAUCUCAUCUGAAAACAAAGUAAGGUACCUUUCACUCAGAAAUGAGGUUCCGGUAAACUGAUAAAUCCUUCCACUAUGCUAUGAGGAGUAUCAAGUGUACAAAAUACAUGCUGUACACAAAUUGAUCUUCACAGGAGGUGUCGGAGGUAGAAAAAAAAUUCUCAUACAGUAAACCCAUCCCGGGGAAAUCCGUCAAAGAAAAGAAACAGCUCUGCUAAACUCUGUUUGUAGGAAACUCCCGAAACUGGCGAAGAAUUGUGCUUUUAUAUCCAAAAACAGAAAUAUAUAUAUAUGCAUCAAUAAAUUCAUCUGCUCAAUGGCUCUAACUGAACUUCCAUUAGUCCAGAAUUCUGUGAACCUGUUCGUGCGGAAGCAUGGUGUGGGUUUAAAAGGUCAACAGAAUCGUCUUCUUCAACAUUGCCUAGGACCCAGUUGCCCCUUCCUAAAAAUCGGUCCCUCCUCCGCUGUCUUUCACGAUACUCCAAAUAAAUGACUAGUAGUGCACCUAUCAAGAACCAAAUUAUUAAUGCCCAGCUAAGUCCAUGGACAUUUUCUCCUUUAUAUCUUUCUCCUAAAUGCUUCAUUCCAGUGAAAAGCGCUGCUAUUCCUACAACAAUGGCACCUCUGCCAACAAUUACAUGGAAAUAUUCCCAAAUAAUCCUAUUUGAGGAAGCCUCCACACCAUGAUCAGGUUUCUUAGGCCUGAGGUACGCAUUCACUGGCUGUACACAGGCACAAAAUAUAGCAGCAAUCCCAAACUUAACAUGUAAUGAGCUAACAAAGAAACCAUGAAGUUCAGCAACAGCAAAAAGAACAGCAAGUAGGAUAAUUGCUAAUCCCGAAUACUGUAAGUAAACAUGAAUUUGGUACCAUCCAUCACCUUUUACAUGUUUAAGGUAUCUAGCAGCCAAUAUUCCACCAGGAAGUAGAAUACCCCAAGCGAGGAACAUCAUAAAUCCAUGUACAGCUAAUACCGGUCGUAAAUCUUGCUCAGCCUCAGAAGAACCGCGCAGAAGCAUCACACGCACAGGCCUUUGACUAGUGACAGAAUGCAUAUUUCUCUCACUAAGAUGCUCAGACCACUUAGCACCCAUUGCCCAAACUACUCUAAGAGGAGUUGUUGGAUCAAGAAUGUUCUUGCACUCUUUCUUCUUAUCAUGACUACUGCAUGAUGGAUUAAAGGGGCGUGUGAAUUCAAAAGUAAUGAUGCCAUUUUCUGACUUGCACCUGACAUGCGUCAAGUUCUCAUUCGUCAGAUGCACAUUUGAGGCAUCCUUUCCAUCAAUCCAAUAUGUAUUUAGACGCCCUUUUCCGGCAUUGUCAAUCCAGCCCACAUAAGCAUAGCUAUUCACCAUCUCACCACCAAAAGCUAUAGCUAGAUAGCCACUCUUCUUUUCACCACGGGCUGCAAUAGAUAUUGAAUCCUUAGAUACUGUCCAAAAGAAAGUAACUUGCUGAUCAUCUAAAAACACGCUAUUGUUAUACAUAUCAGAUAGACCACCAUCAACAACUUCGACUCUCCACCCCAUCUUCGGCUGGAAUAAUGACUGAUAAAACACUUGAUCAGGGGUAUUCCUAUCGGGAGCCCAAACCAAUUCGUAAGGGCUUGCCAUGACUCCUUCUGCUUCCGGCCCACCAGAAUAAAUAGUCUCAGUUGCAUUCCUCAAUGUUGCAUUCCCACCUAGAUAAUCAGAAGUAAUAUACAAAGCAACAUCAUGACCUGUCUGCACCGAAAACUUCACAGGAACCCCUCUUUCCACUCUCAAAACUGGAGCCUCCUUCUUAUUAAUAUACAAAACCUUUGAUGGAUUUGGUGGAUUUGGAUAAUGCAACGCCUCCCCAGUCGUAACAACAAGCGGAACUUUUGCACUGGCAAUAAUCAAAUCUUGGUCCUGCUUAUCAUCAGCAUCCAAUGGCCCGAAACAAUCAUCCACAUUCUCUGAAACAUUAAGCCUCAAAUGUCCAUAUGCAACCAUCAUUGGACCCCCGUGAUUUUGGGGCAAAUAAUAUGGCCGGAUAGUAUCAGGCGGUUUCAUCAACCCUAAUGCCCAAAUAACCGUCAUUUCCUUGGUAGGAUUCACAGGCAAAUCGUAUUUACCAUCCGACGAAUUCAAUGGUUUCCUAAACCUAAUAAAGGAAACCCCAUCUCUCCUAUGUCCAUAAACCAACUUAGUAUUAUUUAGCGUCAUGCCGUUGGUGGUAUUCUCAUAAACUACAUCAGGACAAACACCUACGGCUGAACCAUCUUUACCAUGCAACAUACACUCACUAUAACUCGUAAUGUAAAAAUCAUCAACAAAGGGCCUACCUUCCUCCGUAAAAGCCGCCACCGCGAUGUCUGCUCCUAACAUCAGCUCCUUGGUUCUAUUCGGAUUCGCCCACCCAAACGCCAUGUAAUUCAUCGUCUUGGUCGCCGCUUCGAGCCCGAUCUCGAUCCAAUUGUCCUCCACAUUCAAGCUCCACCGAACCCUAUAAUUACCCGACAAGUUCUUGCAGUUAUCGAACAUUGUAUGUACCCUGCCUGGAUACAAAUCCGACCCGUUGGUGGGGAGGGUGAGGUGGCCAAAGUCCGAUAAGGUGGUGACGUCCCAGACGGAGAGAACUUUGAUCUGGUCCCAGGUGACGUUGGGGAGUAAUUGGAUCGAAAACGACGCGUUUUUGUAAGUUGUUUGGUUGAGGCGGUGAUCGGAAAUCGGGAACCCACGGGUGAUGUUAGAGAAAUCGACGGCGACCGCCCCCCAGAAAACGACGUCGGAAGAACCGGAUAACAUGUCAAAUCUGGAUACUUGGAAAGAACAAUCAUCGAGGAUUUUGAAAUGGCCUCUCAGUUGGUGUUGGACCAUGGUGAAAUUGGAUUCGAAGCCGAUUAGGGAGCUCGUGUUGGAGCAUUUCGUACCGGAAUCCGCAUUGCAGAAGAAGAUGAAGGAAUUGAUGAGAAAGAGUAGGAGUAAAAGGGAUGAUUUGGAAUUGUACAUUCGGAUCGAAUGGCAAGUGAUUAGAAAGAACCCAAAAUCUAUGUUUAAAGAGAAAUAGAUGUUUAAAAAGAAAGCAAGAAAAAAGGAGGAGCGAGUAAUGGGGCGGUGGUGGCUCGGUGGAGACGUGAGUGGUCAACUCGUCAAUUUUGUUGGUUUGUUCGUGGUUUUUUAAAAGUCCUCUGGGGUUUUUCUUUUGGGGGAAGAGGGGAAGGCCAUGAGAGGUAAAUGGCAAUUUCGUGAUUUUAUUAGGCGUAUUUGAAACAAUCGCCGAAUCACGUCAGUGCUGACAUUCUUAUGCUCAAUUUAGAUUAUUCGUUAAACAAUACUUGGAUUCUUUUUUCUUGUUAAAACCUCAAAAAUUACCCCAACUUUAUUUAUUUAUUUAGUCUUUAUUCUAAAAAAAUUAAUUAUCAUUUAUAUAUAGUUUAAUCUUUUUUUUAAUUUUACUUUUCUUUAUAACUAUUCCACCUGAAAAGUUAAAAAAAUAUCAACUAAAAUAAAUAAAAGAAAAAUAUAAAAAUAGAAACGCCCAAAAACUCAAUCAUAAUUUUCACUUUUUCUCAUUAUUUUCUUUUGUUACUCUAAUUCUCCAUUAGUGAAUUGAACACUGACAAUCGAGAUGAUCUAGUUUUCGUUGUUCACUGUUCAUCGGUUUCAUAAGAUUUACACUUUAAUUAUUCAACAUUGCUUCGUUUGAGCUAUUUUGUUAUAGUCGUUGUUGUCAUUAUUACUUUUUCUAGUGAAUAUAGAGAGCCUCACCACUCGUUUAAUUAAUUCACUAUUAAAAGAAAAAUGAAAAUGCCUUUAAAAUCAUCACUUAGCCAAGCAUGAAGAAUGGAUAAGAUGAAUGGCUUGGGACUCACGAGUUCAAAAAGAGACAUGAAUGAACUUAUAUUAUUGGACACUGGAGCUGACAACAAAUGACGGAUUUCGAUGGUAAAUAGGAGCGAUUAGAGUACUACCAUUUUGUCCCUUUGAGACGUCAUUCUUGCAUCUAACUCAAUGGAAAAAUGAAGAACAAUAAGAAGAAACAAAAUGACCCAAAAUUUUUAAAAUAGCCAAUUCAAUUAAUUGAAAAUAAAAAAAUAGGCACUUCAUUAAUUCAACCCAAUUUUAUGUCUAAUAAUUUCAAAAAAAAAUUUAGCUUUAAUUUACUUCAUUAAGACAACCAGCUCAAGUAAACAAAAAUGAGUUAUUUAUUAUUGAGAGAUAAUAAGUUUCAACCAUUUGAAGUAGAAGGAAAGCAAUGUAUUUGGGGAUUAUUUAGUUUAAUAAUAAACAAGAUUUUUAAAAUUAUUUUUUUCUUUGUUUCUAAUUUACACAUUGUCUAUUGCAUUAUAUUUUCAUGUUAAAAAUAGUACAAAAUUAGGCAAUGAGCAAACAUUGAGAGCUAUUUUCUUUUAAGAUAAGGCUAAAUUAAUAUAAAGUGUGAAUGUUAAAGGGUUAAAAUUGCUAUUAUGUUAAUUUUAAAAGCUUAUACAUCAUUUUUUCGUUAGUCAUUUAACAACCGAUAACCAAAAAAAGGAAAAAAAAAAUCAAAUAAUUGGGUAACAGUUUUGUAACUUUUCAUUAUUGAGUGGCCAACAAAGAAAUUUACUAAUAGUUGGGUGACUACUAGUGUAGUUUAUCCCUUUUUUAUACAUAAAAAUAAUUAUAUUUGCCCAUUAAGAAAAAAAAAAGUAGAUUUAUUUAUUUUUUGAAUAUGUAUAAUUUGAUCAAAAUCAAAAUUUCAUAUAUAUAAUUGAAUCAAAAUAAAAAUUCCAUAUGUAUCAAAUCAAUCCAACCAAAAAUAUAUAUGUAUCAAAUCGAAGUUAAUAUUAUAUAGUUAGUCAAAAUUUCAUUUGUAAUUUCAAGAUUUAUCUCAUUAUAACUAAUACAUACUUGAAUUAGACCUAUCUAUACUAUUGUUAGUGUUCUUCUUUGUUUUCCCAAAGAGUUUCUUCUCUCAUUUUGUUCUCUUACCUUAGUUCUUUGUUGGGCUUCCUAACGCGACUUGUUUCCUCCUCAAAGCUUUUUCCCUAACCAUUUCCAAGUCUUUUGGUUGAUGCUUUGCUUAUCUUUUCCUUCCCACGGUGCAUUUUCCCCUUUCUCCCGUUUUCCUGAUGAUGUCAUGGGCAGGCUAUGAAGUCAAUGGAUCUUUUUCCCAAGACAAAGCAUCUCCCCAAUUGAACUUGAUAGAUAGUAUGUCAGUCUUUCAAUCGAUUUGCUCAUUCAUGAUUAGACUAAGGACAUGUUUACGUUCGUUUACUAAUAUAAGUUGUCUUUCCGUAUUACAAUCCGACCACGUAAUACAGCUUAGUAUUAGCUAAACAUUAGACAAACAUUGAGCUAAUAUUUGCUUCUAUUUUUCUUUACAUGCUAAAAACACACGAGGGCAAUAUACAAAGGGUAUUAAUGUAAUUCAUGAAUAAUUUUUUAACCAAUUUGUUCGAAAAAAUUACAAUUGUACAAAUAAAUAUACUAGACUUAGGGCACCAGAUCCAACACCAACAACCUAAUCCAAUGACACGACAAUUCAGGCUUGUUCAACAAAUCUCAAGGCCGGCCCAAGACCUCGACCAUUGGCUGCCUUAUUGUACGUGCAUUGAGACAUGCGAAAAUAGAUCUAAAUGAAAUGAAGUGCGGUGUUUAUGCAAGUGUGACAAGUUUAGCUGUAAUAUUUAUGUUAUAAUGGAACAUUAAGUAUUCUAAUGAUCAAACUCAAGAGAGAUCUAGUAAUGGAAAUGCUAAGAAUAAAAUAACAUGCAAGGGGAAGACUACCAAGCUACAGGAACAACCAAUUAUUAUGACAAUAAAAAAAGGAGAUUAAACAUGCCAAUAUUCAAUUAAUGAAAAUCACAAUUAGGAAACAAUAAUGAUCAGUCCAUUUCAGUGAAUUUAUGUUCAAAGUAGCCCAAUUGCCAAUUUUCUCAUUUAAUAAAAUCUCCUCUCGGUCUCAAUUUAAUCUAAAUAAGAAAUUUGAUUGAAUUAUCAUCUCGGCUUUACUCAGUUAAACUAAAUUAAAUUAAUUCUUACUUAAUAGGUUCUCCUCUCAGUUUCAGCUUUCUAAAUUUUCCCUUAGAUUUGUCAAUUCUAAGUUUUACAAUUUAUUCAAUUUAUUCUAAAUUUGCAAUUUAGUCUUUGAACAUAAAAUUCACAUGCUAGCAUUUUAAUCAACCAUCACCCAAGCAAUUUAGCUCCAACCCAUUAUGCAAUUAAUCAAAUAAUUCAAUUUCAAGAAAUAACAACAAAGCAUAAGGAUGAAAUUGCAAAACUUACAAAGUACUUAAGAUUUGUAAGAAAUUUCUUGAUUCAAUGAAGAGAAUGCUUCAAUUUGCAAAAUAAUUGAAAGACCAAAUAGAAAAUUCUUCAAUUGAACAAUAAAAAUAAAGUAAUUGCAAGGAAAGUUGUAGAACUAAGCUAACCUAGAAAUAAUCUCUUUUCUAAUCUAGGCCUAAAAUUACCAACAACAAAAUGAACUAACUUAAAAAUAAAACUAAAAAAUCCUAACUUUUUACUCAUUUACAAUAUCUAAAUAAUGUAGUAUUUUAAAAGAAAAGUUAUUUUAAUUCCUCAAUUACAUAAAUAUCCCAAACAAUUAACUCAUACUAGGCAACUUUGAUCCAUAAUCACUUUCGGUUGCCCUUUUAAAAGUGGUUGUGUUGGGCCCAAUGUUGCGACAUUGGAAGACCAAUGUCGUGACAUUCAACUCAGCGGGCUCAUGCCAUGGCCUUGGUAGGUGGAUGUCGUGACUUUGCUUGGCUUUUUCCUGUUCAAGUUCAAGGUCAACGUCAUGACAUUACAAGGUCAAUGUUGUGAACUUAACAACAGGGUGCUUCAUAUUGCAACUUUGAAGGCUGGAAUGUUCAACCUUAUGCUAGAUUGAGGGGAGCUCAUUGGGUGGUAAAAAAUAGAUAAUGUUACGGCAUUCAUGUAUGAUGUUGCGACUUUAGGCACAAAAGACUAAGUUGCAACAUUGCAGCUAUCUAUUUACUUGCCUCAUCCCUCUUCUAAAUUAAGUCCCUGAAACAUCUUUAGCCACCAUUAAGUUUAUAAAGACAGGUAAUUGUCAUUUUAUUUAGGAAAACAUAAACAAACUAAAAUUUUCAAAUUAUAAUAAAGUCUAACAUAAGUAUUGAAAAAAGAUAAAAAGACUAAACCAAUUACUUGAAAAUAAGCUCUUCAAAUUCGAAAAGAGCUUCAUUCGUUGUAUCAAAAUACGAUGUGUCACAUCCAGAAAAUUGGAUUAGAAGAAAUUGGGUUGGAGAAACCAAAAGAGGUCAUGUCCUGUUUUGAAUUAAGGUUGUGAAAAUUAUAUCGAGUAAAAUAAUUUGGUUUGGUGGUUAAGUGUUGCGCUUGUGAGUGGAAGGUUCUAGGUUCAAAUAUUUUCCCUUGAAUUUUUGUUAUUUUUGCCUAAACCCUUAUAUUUGAACAUUUGAUUUAUAAAUUAUUUUUGCUCAACUAUGACAAGAAUAAGCUUGUUGGUUUAGUAGUAAGGCUUCAACUUAGUCUUUGGUCUUGUGUUUGAAUCCUUGUGAAUGUAAAGUGAAAAUUGUUUUUGUUUUGAACUCUCUGAUUGGUAGUUAGCUAGUGGAUUUAGUGGGAUGUGGGUAGUUUUGGUUUAACCCAAAAACCUCUUCCACUCUCUCUAUCUCAGUCUCAUUUCUCUCAUUCUCUUUUUCUUUCUUUUUUAGAAAAUUUUGGUUUGUUAAAAUUUUCUUUGACGUUGUUCUUCAUUUUCUAUUUUACCAUUCCUUUUUCAUUGAUUUUUUGACGGAUAAGUCUUGCAACUUUGUUCUUCAAUGGUAAGUUUCUGCUUGUUAACUGUGGGUGGUGUUUUGUAAAUAUUCAACUAUUAAUCAUUUUGAUUUUUUAUAGGAGGAGAGGGUGAUGCGUACAACGUCUCUCUGGCGUGUUAGGCAUGGCUAAUGGGUGUUAUUAAGUCACUAUUUUUGGGGUAAGUGCUAGUAUAUCAUUUAAGGGACUAUUUUCUUUUAGAGAAGGAGUGGAUUUAAAGUGAAAUUCUGAGUUAGUUCGUGUUUGUUAAUCGAUACAUUUUGACGCCGUAUAUAGGUUUUAUGAGUUCCAGAUGCGUGGUUUGUUGUACCAGUAAUCAGGUGUGUGAAACUAACUCCAAACAUCACUCAGAACUCGAGAAAAUUACGAAACAGGGCUAUUUUUAAAAUUGCCCAACACUACACGGCCGUGUGGUAGGCCGUGUGUAGCACACAGCUGUGUGUGAUUACACGGCCUGGAUUGGUAGUUGAUUUUCUAUCUUUUUCAUCCUAUUCUAUUUCCGUUUUCAAUUUUCAAAUUUUUCGUUAGAUCAAAAUCUGAUUUCACUUUUGAUUGUAUUUGAUUCUAUUUAAUCGGCAGAAUCAAAAUGGGAUGUAUAAACGAAAGUUCUGUUUCUACGAAAAUUCUUUCGAUUAACCAACUCGUUACGAAAUCGCGUUGAUAGCCUCGACUCGUGUCCUAGCCCGUCUGAGAGCUAGAUUUGCCUCAAUUGUUUGCCUCUUGCCUUCAGCUUUCCUCAAGUUAGCUUCCGCUAUUUCAAGAGCUUGCUGAGCUUCUUGUGGAUCAAUGUCACUACCCUUCUCCGCAUCAUUUACUAAAAU
This 24832-nucleotide long non-coding RNA is filed under the name Gossypium barbadense (sea-island cotton). RNAcentral's name for it is "long non-coding RNA (GBAR_LNC002977)". Lineage: Eukaryota; Viridiplantae; Streptophyta; Magnoliopsida; Malvales; Malvaceae. The record is from RNAcentral.